This 364-nucleotide ribosomal RNA is filed under the name Muribaculaceae bacterium. RNAcentral's name for it is "bacterial SSU rRNA". It matches the Rfam family "Bacterial small subunit ribosomal RNA", at positions 1 to 350 of the family's 1533-position model. Lineage: Bacteria; Pseudomonadati; Bacteroidota; Bacteroidia; Bacteroidales; Muribaculaceae. The record is from RNAcentral.
ACAACGAAGAGUUUGAUCCUGGCUCAGGAUGAACGCUAGCGACAGGCUUAACACAUGCAAGUCGAGGGGCAGCGGGGGAGAAAGCUUGCUUUCUCCUGCCGGCGACCGGCGCACGGGUGAGUAACACGUAUGCAACCUGGCCGUCACAGGUGGAUAACCGGAAGAAAUUCCGACUAAUACAGCAUAACACUCCUGAGGGACAUCCCUUGGGAGUCAAAGGAGGCAACUCCGGUGGCGGAUGGGCAUGCGGCGCAUUAGGUAGUUGGUAGGGUAACGGCCUACCAAGCCGACGAUGCGUAGGGGUUCUGAGAGGAAGGUCCCCCACAUUGGAACUGAGACACGGUCCAAACUCCUACGGGAGGCA